UGGGGAAUAUUGGACAAUGGGCGGAAGCCUGAUCCAGCCAUGCCGCGUGUGUGAAGAAGGCCUUUUGGUUGUAAAGCACUUUAAGCGAGGAGGAGGCUCUUCUAGUUAAUACCUAGGAUGAGUGGACGUUACUCGCAGAAUAAGCACCGGCUAACUCUGUGCCAGCAGCCGCGGUAAUACAGAGGGUGCAAGCGUUAAUCGGAAUUACUGGGCGUAAAGCGCGCGUAGGUGGUUCGUUAAGUUGAAUGUGAAAGCCCCGGGCUCAACCUGGGAACUGCAUCCAAAACUGGCGAGCUAGAGUAGGGCAGAGGGUGGUGGAAUUUCCUGUGUAGCGGUGAAAUGCGUAGAUAUAGGAAGGAACACCAGUGGCGAAGGCGACCACCUGGGCUCAUACUGACACUGAGGUGCGAAAGCGUGGGGAGCAAACAGG
RNAcentral lists this ribosomal RNA (430 nucleotides) under Pseudomonadota bacterium. RNAcentral's name for it is "Proteobacteria bacterium partial 16S ribosomal RNA". It matches the Rfam family "Bacterial small subunit ribosomal RNA", at positions 355 to 776 of the family's 1533-position model. The record is from RNAcentral. Lineage: Bacteria; Pseudomonadati; Pseudomonadota.